This 2662-nucleotide long non-coding RNA is filed under the name Heterocephalus glaber (naked mole-rat). RNAcentral's name for it is "lncRNA (ENSHGLG00000039397.1)". The record is from RNAcentral. Lineage: Eukaryota; Metazoa; Chordata; Mammalia; Rodentia; Bathyergidae.
AAAUUUCCCCGUCAGCCUCACCAACUCUCCGACACUUGCAGGUGCUCCCCGGGAACUAGGAAAGGGACACAUCCUGCUCCUGUCCAGCUGAGGAAAAAUGCAGUAGGAAAACUGAAAAUGUGUAGGGAUGAGGAGACGCACCAGAAAAAAAGGAGUAAGGCGAUGGGAAGUGUAUAGAAUAGAGAUGCAGAGUAAAAGACACCAAGCCCCGCGGGCGAGCGCAGCAGCUCCAAGCAUCCGGCCGCUACCCUGCCGCCUCCCCGGCCCGGCUCCCGCGAUGCAGCCUGGCCUGUGAGCCGCUGGUCACUCUAGGACGCUCCGCCGCACAACUACCUCAGCGCCACCCCCUCCCGCCGCACCACUCUGCCCGUCGCACAGCUCUGCCUGCAGGUGAGUCCCGACCAGUUUGGGCCGGGGGGGUAUCCAGGCGCCCUGGGACACGCCCUGCGCCCCUCAGUGUCGGGGCCUUUGUCUGUCUCCGCGGGCGACCGCUGGGACUGCGUUCCCGGUUCCCGAUUGGUUGCCGCUCGCCGGUUGAUCGUGACGUCGCCCUAUUUGCAUAUGACAUUGGGACGUCACCAAGGCGCCAGCACCACCUCCCAAGCUUGGGUCGCUUGUCCUCCCCGUGACCUGGUGGGCACUGUGUCAGCCUGGGCCAAGAGUAAGAGACGCUGGACAGCAAGCGGGGUUCGAGGGGCCUCAGCGGGACUUCUGGGACUGGGCUCAGGUCUCUGUUUCCCUGGUUUCUUCUCCAGACCAGAGAGAAUGUCCGACAGCACGCUAGGUCUGGGGGGUUGAGGAGUUCGUCAGGAGGGUUCAAGGCGACCUCAGACUCCAGGUCUUUGGGUCAGCAGCCAGAUGGUGGCGAAUCCCCUUUUGCAUCCAACUUCCGCCUUCAACAGACUACCAUAAUAACAUUCCCCCUAAUCCCCGCCUUGUGUGCAGUGCCUUAGUUGAUGUCACGCCCAGCUUCCAAAUGAGGAGGUCUUAGACCCCAUUUCACGGAAGGGGAAACUGAGGCCCAGAGAGAGGAAGUAGUUUACUCUAAGUCACACAGCCAAUUAGAGUCAAGUUACCAGAUGGAUGCAUUAGCUGUGGGCAUAUACAUAGCAGGCACUCAAUGUAAGUAACAAGCUACACAAACUUCUUCCACUGGGCACCACUCCGAUUUGACAGGGCUCUUUGGUCUCCUCACUCCUGGCCCUUUUCCCAGGAGGUCUCUGGAGACUGGGUCCUCUUUGGUGGCCCUGACCCGCUUUGUCCUCAUUCUACCUUGGAGCCGCAUAAAAUCAGUGCUUCCUAGCUGUUUUGAUCAUAGAAAGGUGAGUCAUUGGCUGGUUGGUUAAGGUAGAACCUUAGGUGUAAAGUUUCACCCCAUUGGCCCCUCAUCAUCUCCCCACCCUAGACUUGUCAGCUAGGAGGGAUGUACUUGGCCCAGUGCUCAGUGACUGCAGAGGUUGUGCGGGCCCCUUUCUCUGUUCAGAGAGGGUUAGGAGAAGGGGACAGAAGAGAGUUUCCCCCUGACUUUCCAAGUGGAUGGGCCUACAGGCUGGACCCGGAGCCCCAUCUCAGCCUGGGGUUUUGCUCAAGGAGGGGCUCAGCUAGGGAUGGCUUAGGGUGUGAGUGUUAUUCUGGGCACAGCUGCUGUAGUUAUUAAAGGGAAUGAUUCCUUCUGGAGCAGAGCUGGGAACCUGAGAACUAGGAAGUUGGCAGGGCUGGGAAAGAAAAUCCAAGAGGCUCUCCCAGUGGUCAAGAGAGGGGACAGGCACUGACUGGCUGGUGCUGCUAUCACUCCUGGCUGUCACUGACUUGUGUGACCUAGGUCAGGGAUCUUCUCAUCUGAGUCUCCCUUGCCUUAAUGUCUAUAACUGAGGAGGCUCAGUGCAGGGUCCUGGUACAUCUUGAUGCUAGCAACCCCAGGCUUUUCUGUGGCUGGGCAGGGGGACAAUGACUGGAUCAAGGUCCCUGUCUCACCUUGUCCCCAGUGGCUCAUUCAUAUUCUUGGAGAUUAUCUGUUGAAGCUUUCCUGACUAUGUACAAUCUGGACUGAGUGCUUAGUGACCUAAUGCUUGGCUUACCCUACCACUAGCUGUGGGUUUGAGUAUUGAUUUAUGUUCUGUCUCUCUCAAUCUCAGGCUGUAAAAUGGUCUGGGAGCAGAUCUAUAGCCACAAUCUUAAUGUCUCCAUUCCUGGAGCAGGGAGCCUCCUUCCCUUAUCUUCACCUAGGGAAAGACUUGAUGAAGGCUUGGGUUCUGGUCCAACCGCUCAGUGUUUAUCCUUAAGGGCUCCUGGGACCUGACAACUCUCUCCUUCCCUCAUCAUCUCCCACUGAUCUGCUGUUUCACUGGGGCCAGGCAACCUGAUCUUCCUCCAAGCCAGGGAAAAGAGGAGAAUUCCUACUGACUCUUCAAGGUCCAGCUUGGAUGUUGGACCCUAAGGAGAUCUUCCCUGACAAAAGACCUUCCUUCUAUGUCCCUAAAUAAAUAAAGCACCUUAUAACUCGUUUAUUAAGUUUAUUGAGUGCUUGCUUUGUGCCCAGGGACUGUUCUAGACACUUUAUAAGUGUUUAGCUCAUUUAGUUCUUAGUAGAGUCUAGAGGAGGAUAGAUUUAUAAUUUCAUUUAAUUAGUGUGUGUGUUUGUGUGUGUGUGGGGGGGGUGGGG